GGCCUCUUGGGUACGUGGGGUUUCUGCAGUUUAUCAACAACAGCUGAAAAGCAAAGAUAGCUCAAUUCCAAGGAAUGUAUUAGAUCAAGCAGCCACAAGUUCUCAAGUGCCUUCUCUUUAGUAAACCUCUUGCAAAACCAGCAAAGACAGUGCUCUCUGUUCCUCUUGUGAGCACAUCUUGGACAGAGAGAGGGCAUGUGGAUUGAUUCCCAGAUCCCUAGAGCAAAAUAAGCUCUGCUUCUGGGGAUUUAACAGCAGCUGGCUUCACAGAAGGUUUUCCUGCCAUGGAGGUAAGUUGCAGAAAAGCUUCACUUGCUAAAUUGUUGGACCAGAUUAUUCAAUGCACAGGAGCAG
RNAcentral lists this long non-coding RNA (354 nucleotides) under Podarcis muralis (Common wall lizard). Its description in RNAcentral is "lncRNA (ENSPMRG00000001674.1)". Lineage: Eukaryota; Metazoa; Chordata; Lepidosauria; Squamata; Lacertidae. The record is from RNAcentral.